CCCCUGUCUAUGACACAAAUGUGUAUAAGGUGUCAUUUCCUCAUAUUACAAUUAAUCCUCAUAUAUUAAAUUAAUAUUUAAAAUUAUUAUGUAAUAUGAUAUACCGGUAUAUAUCUUACAAGUGUUUGAGUUUAUCUAGGUACUUCAUAUUUACGUCAUGUGCACUUGUACACAUCACAAGUAGGAGUGUAUUACUCCCACCAGCUUUUAAUCGAUGCAUUGAAACAAAACAUGUGACGGUGUGAUAAGUUUCAUUAAAUCAUAUUAUUAAACUCUUUAUGCAAUAUUGUAACGUUAAUAUCAAGAUGGUGCCCAACGAAGACAUUUUAAUCAAACUAAACACGCCCGAAAUUAUUGAACUAAAAGACUUCUACAACGUACACAAAGACCAGUUUCCACAAGUCUACAGUUUUCUAAAGACAACUUUAAAAUGGCACAAAACGCAUCCUGAAUAUAUCACUGUGUUUUCGGUUCAAGGUGACUGGAGAAAUGACGGCACAUUUAUAGCACUAUUAACUUUUUCAUGCUAUGAUAUAUUCAUGCAUUCUCUACAAGAUUCUUAUGAAAAACUACGCAUAGGACUAACACAAACAAAACAAAUUAAUUGGUACGAUUAUGAAAUUAUCUUCUAUGCAAUGUAUGAAAAAUUGAAACCAAUUAUUCUACAAGCAUUGAGCGAUAUAAAUGUGCCCAUAAAGUUAUCUGAUGAAACUUAUUUGUGGCAACUUCCGCAAAAUGCAGCCCUUCAACUAUCUGAUACAUUUGAUCACAACGAUUACUAUAUGGAUGCAGUUAAGGCAGAAGAUGCUGAGGCAAUCAAUGCCAUAUGGCCGCCUCGGUUUAAUACUUCUUUGGAAUACAUACGCACAUUUAUUACUAUGAAUGGUGGAUUUGGUAUUUACGAAAAGAGUACGCAUGAAUUGGUCUCAUGGGUAUUGAUCAACGUAUUGGGACAAUUGGGAGUACUGCAGACGAGAGAGGGUUACUUUAAGAACGGUUUUGGGGCGGCAUUAACGCGGAAAGCCGCAAGAAUUAUAGGAAAAAAUGGUGACCAUCCGAUCGGUACAAUUGGAAGCAUGAAUUUAGCAUCACAGGGUCUUUUUACUAAAUUGGGCUUUGAACAAAAGUAUUCGUGUAUUUAUAUUCGCUGUCAUAAAAAAUCAAUAAGUUAAAUUUGUAGGUUUUAUUACUUAUAAAGAUACUAGCUGACCUGGCGAACUUCGUACCGCCUUAUUUAUUUUUUAUUACACAAAAAAAUAAUAUUGUACAAAAGGCGUACUUAAUGCCGUAAGGCAUUCUCUGCCAGUCACAUCGCUAGCGACCCGCCACGGCUUCGCACGGAAGUAAAAAACCGCAUCAAAUUCCGUUGCGUAGUUUCAAUGAUUUAAGCAUACAAAGGGACAGACAGAGAAAGCGACUUUCCUUUUUCAAACAAAAACCUGUGUGUCAAAAACUUUAAUAACCUUACUACCUAACUACCUACCAUUGUAUUUCAAUAACCUUAUUGUUGGCGCGGCGGGUAUGUCACAAAUUACCACAGAUUACUAUGUAAGUCAUGUGAAGUUUAUAUAUGCGUUCUGAAAUCUCACACAUAGAUGGCGCGACAACGGGAAACGGGUUUUAUUUUUUUUUCAAUCUUUCCGAGAUAUUUUCCUAAUAUUUUUUUCCGUAAGAACCUUCUAUAGAGUAUUUGAAAACUGCAAAAAAAAAAUCAGCCAAAUCGGUCUAGCCGUUUUCAUGUGAUGGCUUGACCACGCGAAACGCGUUUCAUUUUUAUAUAUAUAGAUUCAAUUAAAAUGUAUGAUAAGUUAUUGACUUACUAACGAUAUCCCAUACAGCACAACUUACUUUAAUUAUAUGAGAAAUUACAGAUAGUGAAUUUUUGAUUAACUUAAUUGUCUUAAGAUACAGAUUUAAUAUAAAAAGUAUAUUUAUUUAUUAUAACAUUUUUAUUAUAAAAUUCUAACGGUUUAAUUUUUUUAUUCUGUACUUAUAAUUUUAAUUUGAAGUGUUUUAUAAAUGCCUGCUAUCUUGUAAAAAUUGAAGUCAAUUACGUUAAUCCUUAAAAACGGUAAAUGUUUUGUUAUUUUUCACUUUUGAACGCGGAUUUAUGCUCAAAAAUCAACGUGUUGUUGAAAAACAUUGUUAUAUACUGCAAAUUACUGAUAUACGCUUGGUUUAGUUACAUUAGAAAUUAAAAAUAGUAUAUUUUACAA
This is an RNA transcript of Dalotia coriaria, 2216 nucleotides long. RefSeq lists it as uncharacterized. NCBI's taxonomy places the organism in Eukaryota, Metazoa, Arthropoda, Insecta, Coleoptera, Staphylinidae. The record is from RefSeq and is a predicted model, not a curated record. The transcript is spliced from 4 exons.